This 497-nucleotide ribosomal RNA is filed under the name uncultured bacterium. Its description in RNAcentral is "partial 16S ribosomal RNA". It matches the Rfam family "Bacterial small subunit ribosomal RNA", at positions 28 to 507 of the family's 1533-position model. The record is from RNAcentral.
GACGAACGCUGGCGGCGUGCCUAAUACAUGCAAGUUAAGCGCUGAAGGUUGGUACUUGUACCGACUGGAUGAGCAGCGAACGGGUGAGUAACGCGUGGGGAAUCUGCCUUUGAGCGGGGGACAACAUUUGGAAACGAAUGCUAAUACCGCAUAAAAACUUUAAACACAAGUUUUAAGUUUGAAAGAUGCAAUUGCAUCACUCAAAGAUGAUCCCGCGUUGUAUUAGCUAGUUGGUGAGGUAAAGGCUCACCAAGGCGAUGAUACAUAGCCGACCUGAGAGGGUGAUCGGCCACAUUGGGACUGAGACACGGCCCAAACUCCUACGGGAGGCAGCAGUAGGGAAUCUUCGGCAAUGGACGAAAGUCUGACCGAGCAACGCCGCGUGAGUGAAGAAGGGUUUCGGAUCGUAAAACUCUGUUGGUAGAGAAGAACGUUGGUGAGAGUGGAAAGCUCAUCAAGUGACGGUAACUACCCAGAAAGGGACGGCUAACUACGUG